Molecule: ribosomal RNA, 1595 nt
Filed under: Salmonella enterica
Lineage: Bacteria; Pseudomonadati; Pseudomonadota; Gammaproteobacteria; Enterobacterales; Enterobacteriaceae
Description: partial 23S ribosomal RNA
Rfam family: Bacterial large subunit ribosomal RNA
Source: RNAcentral
UUCCUGUCCAACGUUAAUCGGGGCAGGGUGAGUCGACCCCUAAGGCGAGGCCGAAAGGCGUAGUCGAUGGGAAACGGGUUAAUAUUCCCGUACUUGGUGUUACUGCGAAGGGGGGACGGAGAAGGCUAUGUUGGCCGGGCGACGGUUGUCCCGGUUUAAGCGUGUAGGUGUGUGUUCCAGGUAAAUCCGGUUCACUUUAACACUGAGGCGUGAUGACGAGGCACUACGGUGCUGAAGCAACAAAUGCCCUGCUUCCAGGAAAAGCCUCUAAGCAUCAGGUAACAUCAAAUCGUACCCCAAACCGACACAGGUGGUCAGGUAGAGAAUACCAAGGCGCUUGAGAGAACUCGGGUGAAGGAACUAGGCAAAAUGGUGCCGUAACUUCGGGAGAAGGCACGCUGACACGUAGGUGAAGUGAUUUACUCAUGGAGCUGAAGUCAGUCGAAGAUACCAGCUGGCUGCAACUGUUUAUUAAAAACACAGCACUGUGCAAACACGAAAGUGGACGUAUACGGUGUGACGCCUGCCCGGUGCCGGAAGGUUAAUUGAUGGGGUCAGCGCAAGCGAAGCUCCUGAUCGAAGCCCCGGUAAACGGCGGCCGUAACUAUAACGGUCCUAAGGUAGCGAAAUUCCUUGUCGGGUAAGUUCCGACCUGCACGAAUGGCGUAAUGAUGGCCAGGCUGUCUCCACCCGAGACUCAGUGAAAUUGAACUCGCUGUGAAGAUGCAGUGUACCCGCGGCAAGACGGAAAGACCCCGUGAACCUUUACUAUAGCUUGACACUGAACAUUGAGCCUUGAUGUGUAGGAUAGGUGGGAGGCUUUGAAGUGUGGACGCCAGUCUGCAUGGAGCCGGCCUUGAAAUACCACCCUUUAAUGUUUGAUGUUCUAACGUGGACCCGUGAUCCGGGUUGCGGACAGUGUCUGGUGGGUAGUUUGACUGGGGCGGUCUCCUCCUAAAGAGUAACGGAGGAGCACGAAGGUUGGCUAAUCCUGGUCGGACAUCAGGAGGUUAGUGCAAUGGCAUAAGCCAGCUUGACUGCGAGCGUGACGGCGCGAGCAGGUGCGAAAGCAGGUCAUAGUGAUCCGGUGGUUCUGAAUGGAAGGGCCAUCGCUCAACGGAUAAAAGGUACUCCGGGGAUAACAGGCUGAUACCGCCCAAGAGUUCAUAUCGACGGCGGUGUUUGGCACCUCGAUGUCGGCUCAUCACAUCCUGGGGCUGAAGUAGGUCCCAAGGGUAUGGCUGUUCGCCAUUUAAAGUGGUACGCGAGCUGGGUUUAGAACGUCGUGAGACAGUUCGGUCCCUAUCUGCCGUGGGCGCUGGAGAACUGAGGGGGGCUGCUCCUAGUACGAGAGGACCGGAGUGGACGCAUCACUGGUGUUCGGGUUGUCAUGCCAAUGGCACUGCCCGGUAGCUAAAUGCGGAAGAGAUAAGUGCUGAAAGCAUCUAAGCACGAAACUUGCCCCGAGAUGAGUUCUCCCUGAGACUUUAGGUCUCCUGAAGGAACGUUGAAGACGACGACGUUGAUAGGCCGGGUGUGUAAGCGCAGCGAUGCGUUGAGCUAACCGGUACUAAUGAACCGUGAGGCUUAACCUU